AAAUUGAAGAGUUUGAUCAUGGCUCAGAUUGAACGCUGGCGGCAGGCCUAACACAUGCAAGUCGAACGGUAACAGAAAGCAGCUUGCUGCUUUGCUGACGAGUGGCGGACGGGUGAGUAAUGUCUGGGAAACUGCCUGAUGGAGGGGAUAACUACUGGAAACGGUAGCUAAUACCGCAUAACGUCGCAAGACCAAAGAGGGGGACCUUCGGGCCUCUUGCCAUCGGAUGUGCCCAGAUGGGA
This 242-nucleotide ribosomal RNA is filed under the name Escherichia coli. RNAcentral's name for it is "partial 16S ribosomal RNA". It matches the Rfam family "Bacterial small subunit ribosomal RNA", at positions 1 to 240 of the family's 1533-position model. Lineage: Bacteria; Pseudomonadati; Pseudomonadota; Gammaproteobacteria; Enterobacterales; Enterobacteriaceae. The record is from RNAcentral.